AUUCUACAUUUUAGGAGAGAGAGAGUCUGGCUGGCAAAGUUUUGCCUCAGCCAAGUGCCUGCCCCUUUGAUGUAUCCACGCAGUGAGGGUCGGAAUCUGGCCACUGGAGCCUGGAGGAGACGCCUGAGCUUCCACAGCAAAAGAGCAGUACUUUGAAGAAGUGACGGCCAACAUGUUUCCUCAAAAGAAAUCUGGGUAAAGGCAUGGUAAGUUCCAAACUCAUCGUAUUUCAAAUAGUUUACGUCUACCUCUUGCAAUUACAGAAAAUAACCAAAUUCAGGCAACGGAGACAAAAGUUACUGAGAUUUUAUAAUGUCUCUGGAUUGCACUAAGUUGUCCUAUUUACCAAAGUGGUUUCAUCGCAUCAUUCCUCUUGAAGAUAAUCAAAUAUGAUAUUCUGUAUUAAUUUAUGCCAUGGAGCUUAAGUGGUCAUUGGCCAACUAGAGAUACACUUUUUUUUUUUUUUUUUUUUGGCUAAAAUCUCUCUAGAAUUCACUCCUUACCUAGAAGUAAAAAAAGAGGACACACUUUUGAACUGCUCACAUGACCACACCAUUCUGCGGGGACGUCCUUGUGUUGAGGGGAGGUCUGAAGUCCAUGGAAGAAGACGCAGUGGCUGCUGGAGCUCGUGCAGAGGAAGGGACCCUCAGAAGGACGGAUGAACUGUCAGUGGCAGGAAAAAUGCUGGUCUCCUCAGAGCCUGGGCAUUUUGUUGGUUUUAAGAGUGAGAGGUGCG
Molecule: long non-coding RNA, 736 nt
Filed under: Pan troglodytes (chimpanzee)
Lineage: Eukaryota; Metazoa; Chordata; Mammalia; Primates; Hominidae
Description: lncRNA (ENSPTRG00000053497.1)
Source: RNAcentral